Molecule: ribosomal RNA, 497 nt
Filed under: uncultured bacterium
Lineage: Bacteria
Description: partial 16S ribosomal RNA
Rfam family: Bacterial small subunit ribosomal RNA
Source: RNAcentral
GAUGAACGCUGGCGGCGUGCCUAAUACAUGCAAGUCGAGCGAACGGACGAGAAGCUUGCUUCACUGAUGUUAGCGGCGGACGGGUGAGUAACACGUGGAUAACCUACCUAUAAGACUGGGAUAACUUCGGGAAACCGGAGCUAAUACCGGAUAAUAUUUUGAACCGCAUGGUUCAAAAGUGAAAGACGGUCUUGCUGUCACUUAUAGAUGGAUCCGCGCUGCAUUAGCUAGUUGGUAAGGUAACGGCUUACCAAGGCAACGAUGCAUAGCCGACCUGAGAGGGUGAUCGGCCACACUGGAACUGAGACGCGGUCCAGACUCCUACGGGAGGCAGCAGUAGGGAAUCUUCCGCAAUGGGCGAAAGCCUGACGGAGCAACGCCGCGUGAGUGAUGAAGGUCUUCGGAUCGUAAAACUCUGUUAUUAGGGAAGAACAUAUGUGUAAGUAACUGUGCACAUCUUGACGGUACCUAAUCAGAAAGCCACGGCUAACUACGUG